This 224-nucleotide long non-coding RNA is filed under the name Salvia miltiorrhiza (redroot sage). RNAcentral describes it as "long non-coding RNA (SMIL_LNC002282)". Lineage: Eukaryota; Viridiplantae; Streptophyta; Magnoliopsida; Lamiales; Lamiaceae. The record is from RNAcentral.
UUUUUUCUUGGACAAUGUAUAAUUUUAUACCUAAUAGAGGGUGUUAUAAUUUUAUACCACUUUUUUCUAAAAAAAAUUAUACCACCUUAUAUAACGAAUGGAUAAAUAUAUUAUCAUUCAAAAUAAACAACAUAUAAAAAAGUGAUCUCCGCUUUAAGUGAUAAAUUUAUAUCUCAUUAAUAUAAAAUCCCUUUAUUUUGAGAAGUAAAACAAAAAACAAAAAC